CCUACGGGUGGCUGCAGUGAGGAAUAUUGGUCAAUGGGCGGGAGCCUGAACCAGCCAUGCCGCGUGAAGGCGAGUGCCCUACGGGCGUUAAACUUCUUUUGUGCGGGAGCAAUAAGGGCCACGCGUGGCCCGAUGAGAGUACCGCACGAAUAAGCAUCGGCUAACUCCGUGCCAGCAGCCGCGGUAAUACGGGGGAUGCGAGCGUUAUCCGGAUUUAUUGGGUGUAAAGGGUGCGUAGGCGGCGCUUCAGGUCAGCGGUGAAAUACCGGGGCUCAACCCCGGGGCUGCCGUUGAAACCGGGGCGAGAGAAUUCCGAUGCGGUCGGAGGAAUGUGUGGGGGAGCGGUGAAAGGCAUAGAUAGCACACAGAACACCGAUUGCGAAGGCAGCUGACGAAGCGGAGAUUGACGCUGAUGCACGAAAGCGUGGGUAUCGAACAGGAUUAGAUACCUUUGUAGUA
This 459-nucleotide ribosomal RNA is filed under the name uncultured bacterium. Its description in RNAcentral is "partial 16S ribosomal RNA". It matches the Rfam family "Bacterial small subunit ribosomal RNA", at positions 338 to 795 of the family's 1533-position model. The record is from RNAcentral.